This 393-nucleotide ribosomal RNA is filed under the name uncultured soil bacterium. Its description in RNAcentral is "bacterial SSU rRNA". It matches the Rfam family "Bacterial small subunit ribosomal RNA", at positions 26 to 430 of the family's 1533-position model. The record is from RNAcentral.
AGAUUGAACGCUGGCGGCAUGCCUAACACAUGCAAGUCGAACGGGAGUAGCAAUACUCUAGUGGCGGACGGGUGAGGAAUACGUAGGAAUUUGCCCUUAAGUGGGGGAUAACCCGGGGAAACCCGGAUUAAUACCGCAUGACCUCGAAAGAGCAAAGUGGGGGAUCGCAAGACCUCACGCUUUUGGAGAAGCCUACGUCGGAUUAGCUAGUUGGUGAGGUAAUGGCUCACCAAGGCGACGAUCCGUAACUGGUCUGAGAGGAUGGUCAGUCACACCGGAACUGAGACACGGUCCGGACUCCUACGGGAGGCAGCAGUGGGGAAUAUUGGACAAUGGGCGCAAGCCUGAUCCAGCAAUGCCGCGUGUGUGAAGAAGGCCUUCGGGUUAGUAAAG